Molecule: long non-coding RNA, 1901 nt
Organism: Brienomyrus brachyistius
Lineage: Eukaryota; Metazoa; Chordata; Actinopteri; Osteoglossiformes; Mormyridae
Exons: 3
Source: RefSeq, a predicted model, not a curated record
CUGGGAUAUAGCGCGCCCCGAUGCUCGGUCGCGAGCGCAGUGGCUCGGGCGGGUGGUACGUUUAGAUGGCUGAACAAGUGCUUUCUGCAAAAAACAAGUCAGAUGUGGUCCUUGUACGCUGACAUGAGGGAUACCCUGGUGAUGUAUUCUGGGAUGGCCAUUCCUUUAAAAAGACAGCCUGAGCUGAUUGGACGAGGAGCAUCAGCUGAUCACCCAGUGAGCCAGCAGCACUGCAGUAAGUGGUGCGUGUUGGGCACAGUGAGAGUGGUACUGCCGCACUGAGUGGAGCCAUAUGGACACCAACAAUAACACUGCAAACAUGCCUUCCCUGGUACUGCAGUCAGUGUGGGUACUGACACUGACCUCCCAUGCAAUACAUCGCCGCCAUUUUCACCGACAAUAUUCCUGUUUUUGUCAACUGUGAAACUAAAUCAAGUCUGUUUAAAGCCCUUAUUGUGACCAUGACAACAUAGAAAUAGCUAAACCAUGUCUUAUAUGGUCAGAUUGUUUUGUAGAAUCUAUCUGUGAUCAUUGUACAUUAAAAAAGUACUAUUGGCAGUUAUUACUGGGCCGUUACGAACAUUUGUCCCCACAGCAGUGUCCUUCUGUCGAUUCAAUCUGCAGUUUUGACACCACUAAGCAGCAGAGGCAACUUAUUGCAGAACUGGAGAAUAAAAAUAGUCGAAGGUGACCUUGUAUAUUAAUAGCAAUUCUUAAUAUCCGUGUAUAUUAAUAAGGAAUUACAAGCAGUUUGGUUGCAACAAUUGAGUAAAUUCCCAAAGGAAUCAGUUUUGCCAACUUAUGCCUAAAAACAUUUUUGUUUUAAUUGUAUAAUGAUGUAUACUGCCUAAGAAUAGCUUGCUUAACUGCAGGUAUUUUCUGUCCUGUUGUAGCGACAUGCCAGUUAAAUAUGCAGCAAUGCAGCACAUGCGACAUGACCUCGCGUGUCUGCGUGUGUGCGUGUCAUAGCAGCGAGAUCCCACGGGAGAUUCCCAGCCUGUCCUGGAGAAGGCGCUACAGAGCCCUCUGCUCCUGGUGACCCUGCAGGACAGUAGCUGGAUGGAGGGCAGAAGGACACCCCAGUCACAUGGUCUGACACGACACGACACAGGAAGCUUUAAUACCCUCAAAAGUCCUCAAAAGACUAUUUACAUUCACAUUUAUUUAUUAGCUGACUCUUUAUUUAUAAAUCAUGUUACCUGAAUAGUACAUUUAUACAUUGUUGCUACUGAUUACGACUGCAAUUACGGGAAUUUUUAUUUUAAUUUAUUUAGACCACUGGUCCCUCCCACAUCCCCACUGUGUGCAGUGUUCUCAGUGUAGGUGGGUGGCACCAGGGGGCAGCAGACAGGUCUCCGUAACCAUGUUAUAAUCGAUGCACAUCAAUAACACCAUGAGCUCUGGACUCAGAUGGAUGUCAGAGGAUGUGGCUGAACUGGAGACGCAUUUUACUGAUGGCCCUUGUCCAGUUUACUGACAUGUAAACCGAGGUUUUGAGGCUCUAAUUUGGUUGUAUUAAGUAAUAAUAAUUAAUAGUAAUAAACCACAGGUAGAUAUGCUCCAGACCGCUGGGACCCUGCAAGUGGGAUUAAUCGUUAUAUAACAUAGGCGAAGAAGCUUUGGGUUAUAUGAUUAAUUGUAUGAUUUUCAAGAGACAUUAAGCCUGUAAGCCACAUAUGAGCCAUAUAAGUAUUUUUAUGGAUUUAUUUGACUUAGUUGCUGCCUACAUCCAGUGUGUUUCUUGCUGCCUGUUGGACAGAAACCGUUUUAGAUACUGAGGCAGUCAGUCUGCAUCCUCUCUUGCCAUCCUUUCUUCUCACCUGCCUGCUCACCCCCUCGUCUCCAGCGCCGUUCUGGAUCUUUCGUUCGCCCUCUUCAUCUGGUGACUAGCAGGAUGACUG